AACGAACGCUGGCGGCAUGCCUAACACAUGCAAGUCGAACGAGACCUUCGGGUCUAGUGGCGCACGGGUGCGUAACGCGUGGGAAUCUGCCCUUGGGUUCGGAAUAACAGUUAGAAAUGACUGCUAAUACCGGAUGAUGACGUAAGUCCAAAGAUUUAUCGCCCAAGGAUGAGCCCGCGUAGGAUUAGCUAGUUGGUAAGGUAAAGGCUUACCAAGGCGACGAUCCUUAGCUGGUCUGAGAGGAUGAUCAGCCACACUGGGACUGAGACACGGCCCAGACUCCUACGGGAGGCAGCAGUGGGGAAUAUUGGACAAUGGGCGAAAGCCUGAUCCAGCAAUGCCGCGUGAGUGAUGAAGGCCUUAGGGUUGUAAAGCUCUUUUACCAGGGAUGAUAAUGACAGUACCUGGAGAAUAAGCUCCGGCUAACUCCGUGCCAGCCGCCGCCGUAA
Molecule: ribosomal RNA, 449 nt
Filed under: uncultured bacterium
Lineage: Bacteria
Description: partial 16S ribosomal RNA
Rfam family: Bacterial small subunit ribosomal RNA
Source: RNAcentral